RNAcentral lists this ribosomal RNA (376 nucleotides) under Strombidium sp. RNAcentral's name for it is "SSU rRNA". It matches the Rfam family "Eukaryotic small subunit ribosomal RNA", at positions 587 to 975 of the family's 1831-position model. Lineage: Eukaryota; Ciliophora; Spirotrichea; Strombidiidae. The record is from RNAcentral.
AGCUCCAAUAGCGUAUAUUAAAGUUGUUGCAGUUAAAAAGCUCGUAGUUGGAUUUCUGGGAGGGUGCCGAUGUCCACUUAACGUGUGCGCAGCGGCGCCCUCUCAUCCUUCUGUUAGCGUCUCUUGGCAUUCAUUUGCUGGUGGCGGGCUCAGAUAUUUUACCUUGAGAAAAUUAGAGUGUUUCAGGCAGGCUAGGCCGGAAUACAUUAGCAUGGAAUAAUGGAAUAGGACUACGGUCUCUUUGUUGGUUUGAGGGACUGCAGUAAUGAUUAAUAGGGAUAGUUGGGGGCAUUAGUACUUAACUGUCAGAGGUGGAAUUCUCAGAUUUGUUAAAGACUGACUUAUGCGAAAGCAUUUGCCAAGGAUGUUUUCAUUA